AACGUAGGAGACAAACGUUAUCCGGAGUUACUGGGCGUAAAGGGCGUGCAGGUGGUCUGUUAAGUCUGGCGUGAAAGCUCUCGGCUAAACCGGGAGAGGUCGUUGGAUACUGGCGGACUAGAGGACGGUAGAGGUGUGUGGAAUUCCGGGUGUAGUGGUGAAAUGCGUAGAGAUCCGGAGGAACACCAGUGGCGAAGGCGACACACUGGGCCGUACCUGACACUAAGACGCGACAGCAUGGGGAGCGAACGGG
This 253-nucleotide ribosomal RNA is filed under the name uncultured bacterium. RNAcentral describes it as "partial 16S ribosomal RNA". It matches the Rfam family "Bacterial small subunit ribosomal RNA", at positions 524 to 776 of the family's 1533-position model. The record is from RNAcentral.